UGGGGAAUUUUGGACAAUGGGCGCAAGCCUGAUCCAGCAAUGCCGCGUGCAGGAUGAAGGCCUUCGGGUUGUAAACUGCUUUUGUACGGAACGAAAAGCCUCUCUCUAAUACAGGGGGUGAUGACGGUACCGUAAGGAUAAGCACCGGCUAACUACGUGCCAGCAGCCGCGGUAAUACGUAGGGUGCAAGCGUUAAUCGGAAUUACUGGGCGUAAAGCGUGCGCAGGCGGUUUUGUAAGACAGUGGUGAAAUCCCCGGGCUCAACCUGGGAACUGCCAUUGUGACUGCAAGGCUGGAGUGCGGCAGAGGGGGAUGGAAUUCCGCGUGUAGCAGUGAAAUGCGUAGAUAUGCGGAGGAACACCGAUGGCGAAGGCAAUCCCCUGGGCCUGCACUGACGCUCAUGCACGAAAGCGUGGGGAGCAAACAGGAUUAGAUACCCUGGUAGUCCACGCCCUAAACGAUGUCAACUGGUUGUUGGGGAUUUAUUUCUUCAGUAACGAAGCUAACGCGUGAAGUUGACCGCCUGGGGAGUACGGCCGCAAGGUUAAAACUUAAAUGAAUUGACGGGGUCAUAGCUGUUUCCU
Molecule: ribosomal RNA, 584 nt
Filed under: uncultured bacterium
Lineage: Bacteria
Description: partial 16S ribosomal RNA
Rfam family: Bacterial small subunit ribosomal RNA
Source: RNAcentral